Molecule: long non-coding RNA, 247 nt
Filed under: Manihot esculenta (cassava)
Lineage: Eukaryota; Viridiplantae; Streptophyta; Magnoliopsida; Malpighiales; Euphorbiaceae
Description: long non-coding RNA (MESC_LNC012421)
Source: RNAcentral
UUCCGUUUAUCUCGUUUCAGUUUAUUUCUCUUUCAGUUUAUUUUUGUUUCAGUUAAUUCUCUUGGUCUUGAUAAGGAAAUAGGUAAGUUCUCAAUUCCCUGUGGAUUCGAUCCUUUCACCACUAUCUACAGUUGUAAAAUUGUUGAUAACCAGAAAGGUUAUUUUUGACCGGCUUCGACAACCACGAGUCAAAAAUUGGCGCCGUUGCCAGGGAGUUGGUUUAACUUAUUUGUUUUUCUUUCAUGAC